UGACGUAGGUAGCAGUAGAGUUUGAUCCUGGCUAGCAAGGUAGCAUGUAUAGUUUGAUCCUGAGUCACGCGUGAGUAACCUGCCCUUAACUCUGGGAUAAGCCUGGGAAACUGGGUCUAAUACCGGAUAGGAGCGCCGACCGCAUGGUGGGUGUUGGAAAGAUUUAUCGGUUUUGGAUGGACUCGCGGCCUAUCAGCUUGUUGGUGAGGUAAUGGCUCACCAAGGCGACGACGGGUAGCCGGCCUGAGAGGGUGACCGGCCACACUGGGACUGAGACACGGCCCAGACUCCUACGGGAGGCAGCAGUGGGGAAUAUUGCACAAUGGGCGCAAGCCUGAUGCAGCGACGCCGCGUGAGGGAUGACGGCCUUCGGGUUGUAAACCUCUUUCAGUAGGGAAGAAGCGAAAGUGACGGUACCUGCAGAAGAAGCACCGGCUAACUACGUGCCAGCAGCCGCGGUAAUACGUAGGGUGCGAGCGUUAUCCGGAAUUAUUGGGCGUAAAGAGCUCGUAGGCGGUUUGUCGCGUCUGUCGUGAAAGUCCGGGGCUUAACCCCGGAUCUGCGGUGGGUACGGGCAGACUAGAGUGCAGUAGGGGAGACUGGAAUUCCUGGUGUAGCGGUGGAAUGCGCAGAUAUCAGGAGGAACACCGAUGGCGAAGGCAGGUCUCUGGGCUGUAACUGACGCUGAGGAGCGAAAGCAUGGGGAGCGAACAGGAUUAGAUACCCUGGUAGUCCAUGCCGUAAACGUUGGGCACUAGGUGUGGGGACCAUUCCACGGGUUUCCGCGCCGCAGCUAACGCAUUAAGUGCCCCGCCUGGGGAGUACGGCCGCAAGGCUAAAACUCAAAGGAAUUGACGGGGGCCCGCACAAGCGGCGGAGCAUGCGGAUUAAUUCGAUGCAACGCGAAGACCUUACCAAGGCUUGACAUGUUCUCGAUCGCCGUAGAAGAAUACGGUUUCCUCCUUUUGGAGCCGGUUCACAGGUGGUGCCAUGGAUGGUCGUCAGCUCGUGUCGUGAGAUUGUUGGGAUUAAGUUCCCGCACCGAGCGGCAAUCCUUCGUUCAUGUUGCCAGCCACGUAAUUGGUGGGGACCUCAUGGGAAACUUACGGGGUCCAACUCCCGAGCAUGGUGAGGACGACGUCUAAUCAUCAUGCCCCUAUGUCGUGGGCUUCACCGCCACAUGUGCAUA
Molecule: ribosomal RNA, 1189 nt
Rfam family: Bacterial small subunit ribosomal RNA